Molecule: long non-coding RNA, 780 nt
Organism: Mauremys mutica (yellowpond turtle)
Lineage: Eukaryota; Metazoa; Chordata; Testudines; Geoemydidae
Exons: 4
Source: RefSeq, a predicted model, not a curated record
CAGGAAUUGUUCCAACAAAUAUUUGGCAACAUGCACCAAUCAGGUAUAUUACAAGGAAACUCAAUCACAGGAUCUCAUCACCAGCUGAUGGUGUACUAGCAGCCUGCUUAAAGUUGUUUCUGUGGUUGUGAUUGACUCUGACUACUGGAAGAACAAGUUAUAAAGUUGUAAUGAAAACCACAAGAAAAGAUGACAUCUAUCAGCCAGAGCUGGGGAAUCCCAACGUCACUCACUCCUGCUCAGCACCACUGCCUGUGAACAGCUCCCCUCUGCACACUGGGGCAGCUUUAGGUUGCCCUGGUGAAAGGGAGGGAGAAGGAGAAAAAAAACAAGUCUGACUAAAAGAAACUUUGAAAAAUACAGGCGGUAAGCUGAUAAGCACCUCAUCCUAGCAGCUUGGGCUCUAGCAACCAUUGGCGCCCCAGCCACACAACAGAAUCACCUUGAAACAUUCAAAUUAAAGAGGAGUGACAGACUAUAAAUUACCGGUGUUAUGAAACAUGACAAGGUGGAGAGUCGAAAACAAUCCAGUUAACCCAAACAAUUCAGUUCACACUGGCUGGCUGGAUUCUAUAGGCUCCAGGCGAUCUUAUUUGUAUCUAGAGUGUGUUGUCAUGUGCAGCCAUGGUAAUACAGGGGCUGGGAAGAGAUCUUGCCUCCUUUCUAUGAUAAGGUAAUCAACGGAUUGCCAGAAUGAUUGCAAUCUGACUAGAACAGAAAGGACCGAAAUAGCCAGGCUGUCCACAUAAGGUAACCAAGAUAGUUAUCUGAUCUGUCAAA